CAAUACCUAAUUCUUAACGCAGUUACAUCAUACCUUCAGCUUCUUCAACUCUCCGAAUUUGGUUUGACUGAAUGCCCAAUCUGCGUAUAGUUGAAGAAGGGGACCAUUGUUUGAUUGCAGAAUUCAUAGAAGCAUAAAGGAGAUGGAGAGAAAAGGGAGCCCAAAAUUGAAUAUCGCAAUCAUACACCCAGAUCUUGGUAUAGGUGGAGCUGAAAGAUUGAUUGUUGAUGCGGCUGUUGAACUUGGCUCCCAUGGCCACAAUGUUCAUAUUUUUACAGCUCACCAUGAUAAAAACCGAUGCUUUGAGGAAACUGUUUCUGGUACCUUUCCAGUUACUGUAUAUGGCUCUUUUCUACCUCGGCAUAUAUUUUACCGUUUACAUGCUGUAUGUGCAUACUUACGGUGUAUUUUUGUUGCUAUUUGCUUGCUGUUCCUGUGGCCAUCAUUUGAUGUCAUACUGGUAGAUCAGGUUUCUGUUGUCAUCCCACUGUUGAAACUUAAAAAAUCAGCAAAGGUGGUAUUUUAUUGUCAUUUUCCGGAUCUGUUACUAGCUCAACACACAACUUUUCUUCGGAGGUUAUAUAGAAAACCUAUUGACUUUGUAGAAGAAAUUACAACUGGAAUGGCAGAUAUGAUACUUGUUAAUAGUAAAUUUACUGCAUCUACCUUUGCAAAUACAUUCAAUCAUCUCCAUUCUCGAGGAAUUCAACCUGCUGUUCUUUACCCAGCAGUCAAUGUGGAUCAGUUUGAUGAAUCUCAUUCUUAUAA
RNAcentral lists this unclassified non-coding RNA (768 nucleotides) under Hevea brasiliensis (rubber tree). Lineage: Eukaryota; Viridiplantae; Streptophyta; Magnoliopsida; Malpighiales; Euphorbiaceae. The record is from RNAcentral.